GACGAACGCUGGCGGCGUGCUUAACACAUGCAAGUCGAACGGAAAGGCCCUGCUUUUGUGGGGUGCUCGAGUGGCGAACGGGUGAGUAACACGUGAGUAACCUGCCCUUGACUUUGGGAUAACUUCAGGAAACUGGGGCUAAUACCGGAUAGGAGCUCCUGCUGCAUGGUGGGGUUGGAAAGUUUCGGCGGUUGGGGAUGGACUCGCGGCUUAUCAGCUUGUUGGUGGGGUAGUGGCUUACCAAGGCUUUGACGGGUAGCCGGCCUGAGAGGGAGACCGGCCACAUUGGGACUGAGAUACGGCCCAGACUCCUACGGGAGGCAGCAGUGGGGAAUAUUGCACAAUGGGCGGAAGCCUGAUGCAGCAACGCCGCGUGCGGGAUGACGGCCUUCGGGUUGUAAACCGCUUUCGCCUGUGACGAAGCGUGAGUGACGGUAAUGGGUAAAGAAGCACCGGCUAACUACGUG
Molecule: ribosomal RNA, 467 nt
Filed under: uncultured bacterium
Lineage: Bacteria
Description: partial 16S ribosomal RNA
Rfam family: Bacterial small subunit ribosomal RNA
Source: RNAcentral